RNAcentral lists this unclassified non-coding RNA (378 nucleotides) under plant metagenome. RNAcentral describes it as "partial contains 5.8S ribosomal RNA, internal transcribed spacer 2, and large subunit ribosomal RNA". The stretch from base 1 to 105 matches the Rfam family "5.8S ribosomal RNA", at positions 50 to 154 of the family's 154-position model. The record is from RNAcentral.
GAAAUGCGAUAAGUAAUGUGAAUUGCAGAAUUCAGCGAAUCAUCGAAUCUUUGAACACACCUUGCGCUCCUUGGUAUUCCUUGGAGCAUGCCUGUUUGAGUAUCAUGAAAUCUUCAAAGUAAAUCUUUUGUUAACUCAAUUGGUUUCUACUUUGGUAUUGGAGGUCUUUGCAGCUUCACACCUGCUCCUCUUUGUUCAUUAGCUGGAUCUCAGUGUUAUGCUUGGUUCCACUCGGCGUGAUAAGUUAUCUAUCGCUGAGGACACUGUAAAAGGUGGCCAAGGUAAAUGCAGAUGAACCGCUUCUAAUAGUCCAUUGACUUGGACAAUACUUUUAUGAUCUGAUCUCAAAUCAGGUAGGACUACCCGCUGAACUUAAGC